RNAcentral lists this ribosomal RNA (390 nucleotides) under uncultured Chrysophyceae. Its description in RNAcentral is "partial small subunit ribosomal RNA". It matches the Rfam family "Eukaryotic small subunit ribosomal RNA", at positions 30 to 432 of the family's 1831-position model. The record is from RNAcentral. Lineage: Eukaryota; Chrysophyceae.
GCUUGUCUCAAAGAUUAAGCCAUGCAUGUCUAAGUAUAACUCUUUUACUUUGAAAACUGCGAACGGCUCAUUAUAUCAGUUAUAGUUUCUUUGAUAGUCCCUUACUACUUGGAUACCCGUAGUAAUUCUAGAGCUAAUACAUGACUCAAAGACCGACUUACGAAGGUCUGUGUUUAUUAGAUGGAAACCAAAGCGGGGAAACCCGGAUUUAUGGUGAUUCAUAAUAACCCUCCGAUCGGCUAUGCCGACGCAUCAUUCAAGUUUCUGCCCUAUCAGCUUUGGACGGUAGGGUAUUGGCCUACCGUGGCUUUAACGGGUAACGGAGAAUUAGGGUUCGAUUCCGGAGAGGGAGCCUGAGAAAUGGCUACCACAUCCAAGGAAGGCAGCAGG